Molecule: unclassified non-coding RNA, 205 nt
Filed under: Hevea brasiliensis (rubber tree)
Lineage: Eukaryota; Viridiplantae; Streptophyta; Magnoliopsida; Malpighiales; Euphorbiaceae
Source: RNAcentral
CACUUUAAUUAAUUCUGCACAUAUCUCAAUACAAAUACUUAAUCUAUUGAUAAUUAUUAGCUUGAGCUUAUAUUAGAUGCGCUCAAUUUUUAGUAUUCCACCUUCUAAAAAAUCACACCAUCCAAUUUCUUAACUCUAAUUUGCAUUAAAAACAUUUAACUAUAGUUUCAUUAUGCUAAAUUCAAAAAUUUCCACUUAAUGUAAG